GAAAGAUAGGAAUACUGGUUCAAGCGAAAGGUUCGUUUAUUAAUUUGUAUCAUUGUUUAACAUCUCUGUAUGAUAUCAAUAUAUGUUUCUCACUUUCAACCUGUAAAGUUUGCCGAAGCAUACAUAAACGGUGAAGGCCCCAACCCGUACUACCGUAUUACAUAGGAUCCCACGAAAAUAAACAUAUCUACGCAAGGACCUCAUUCUGAUUUUACUGGUUUGCGGUAGAAAUGUAUAUAAAAAGUUUGACACGACCUCCGGAAAUAGAAGAAAAGAAAAAUUAAGAAAAGACAAUUAAAAAUCGCUGGCAAAAGUAGAAAUUCUUGUUUUCAAAAUCUUAUAUUGGUCGGUGAGCUAUUAUUGAGUCAAUGAAUAGAAGCUCGCAGAUUUCUUGUUAAUUAUAGUGAUUACAAAUUGUCAGGAGUGGAUUUAUGCGGGUUAAGCUUGAAACUUAAAUUUCUCGCUAAUUUUACCACAAAAUAUUUAUUUCUCGCCACGCUUGGCAAGAUAUCUACAUUGCACCCUCUCUAGAAGAAUAUUUCAAUAAUUUCGAUAAUAAUACCUCCAAAAAAAAUUCGCCUCGCUCCGCUCGGCAGAAAUUUAAGUUUGCGCCCCCCUAACCGAAAAUCCUGGAUCCGCC
RNAcentral lists this long non-coding RNA (640 nucleotides) under Mytilus galloprovincialis (Mediterranean mussel). The record is from RNAcentral. Lineage: Eukaryota; Metazoa; Mollusca; Bivalvia; Mytilida; Mytilidae.